Molecule: ribosomal RNA, 791 nt
Filed under: uncultured bacterium
Lineage: Bacteria
Description: bacterial SSU rRNA
Rfam family: Bacterial small subunit ribosomal RNA
Source: RNAcentral
GAAGUUAAAGGCUGUGGCUCAACCAUAGUUCGCUUUGGAAACUGUCAAACUUGAGUGCAGAAGGGGAGAGUGGAAUUCCAUGUGUAGCGGUGAAAUGCGUAGAUAUAUGGAGGANCACCGGUGGCGAAAGCGGCUCUCUGGUCUGUAACUGACGCUGAGGCUCGAAAGCGUGGGGAGCGAACAGGAUUAGAUACCCUGGUAGUCCACGCCGUAAACGAUGAGUGCUAGGUGUUGGAUCCUNUCCGGGAUUCAGUGCCGCAGCUAACGCAUUAAGCACUCCGCCUGGGGAGUACGACCGCAAGGUUGAAACUCAAAGGAAUUGACGGGGGCCCGCACAAGCGGUGGAGCAUGUGGUUUAAUUCGAAGCAACGCGAAGAACCUUACCAGGUCUUGACAUCCCGAUGCUAUUUCUAGAGAUAGGAAGUUACUUCGGUACAUCGGUGACAGGUGGUGCAUGGUUGUCGUCAGCUCGUGUCGUGAGAUGUUGGGUUNNNNNNNNNNNNCGAGCGCAACCCCUAUUGUUAGUUGCCAUCAUUCAGUUGGGCACUCUAGCGAGACUGCCGGUAAUAAACCGGAGGAAGGUGGGGAUGACGUCAAAUCAUCAUGCCCCUUAUGACCUGGGCUACACACGUGCUACAAUGGUUGGUACAACGAGUUGCGAGUCGGUGACGGCGAGCUAAUCUCUUAAAGCCAAUCUCAGUUCGGAUUGUAGGCUGCAACUCGCCUACAUGAAGUCGGAAUCGCUAGUAAUCGCGGAUCAGCACGCCGCGGUGAAUACGUUCCCGGGCCUU